UGGGGAAUAUUGCGCAAUGGGGGAAACCCUGACGCAGCGACGCCGCGUGAGGGAUGAAGGCCUUCGGGUUGUAAACCUUUUUCGCUCAUGGUCAAGCCGCAGCUUUGGGUUGUGGUGAGGGUAGUGGGUAAAGAAGCGCCGGCUAACUACGUGCCAGCAGCCGCGGUAAUACGUAGGGCGCGAGCGUUGUCCGGAAUUAUUGGGCGUAAAGGGCUUGUAGGCGGUUGGCCGCGUCUGCCGUGAAAUCCUCUGGCUUAACUGGGGGCGUGCGGUGGGUACGGGUUGACUUGAGUGCGGUAGGGGAGACUGGAAUUCCUGGUGUAGCGGUGGAAUGCGCAGAUAUCAGGAGGAACACCGGUGGCGAAGGCGGGUCUCUGGGCCGUUACUGACGCUGAGGAGCGAAAGCGUGGGGAGCGAACAGG
This 422-nucleotide ribosomal RNA is filed under the name Verrucomicrobiota bacterium. Its description in RNAcentral is "Verrucomicrobia bacterium partial 16S ribosomal RNA". It matches the Rfam family "Bacterial small subunit ribosomal RNA", at positions 355 to 776 of the family's 1533-position model. Lineage: Bacteria; Pseudomonadati; Verrucomicrobiota. The record is from RNAcentral.